RNAcentral lists this ribosomal RNA (496 nucleotides) under uncultured bacterium. RNAcentral's name for it is "partial 16S ribosomal RNA". It matches the Rfam family "Bacterial small subunit ribosomal RNA", at positions 28 to 506 of the family's 1533-position model. The record is from RNAcentral.
GAUGAACGCUGGCGGCGUGCCUAAUACAUGCAAGUCGAGCGAACGGACGAGAAGCUUGCUUCUCUGAUGUUAGCGGCGGACGGGUGAGUAACACGUGGAUAACCUACCUAUAAGACUGGGAUAACUUCGGGAAACCGGAGCUAAUACCGGAUAAUAUUUUGAACCGCAUGGUUCAAAAGUGAAAGACGGUCUUGCUGUCACUUAUAGAUGGAUCCGCGCUGCAUUAGCUAGUUGGUAAGGUAACGGCUUACCAAGGCAACGAUGCAUAGCCGACCUGAGAGGGUGAUCGGCCACACUGGAACUGAGACACGGUCCAGACUCCUACGGGAGGCAGCAGUAGGGAAUCUUCCGCAAGGGGCGAAAGCCUGACGGAGCAACGCCGCGGGAGUGAUGAAGGUCUUCGGAUCGUAAAACUCUGUUAUUAGGGAAGAACAUAUGUGUAAGUAACUGUGCACAUCUGGACGGUACCUAAUCAGAAAGCCAGGGCUAACUACGU